Chrysemys picta bellii (western painted turtle) is the source of this 454-nucleotide non-coding RNA. NCBI's taxonomy places the organism in Eukaryota, Metazoa, Chordata, Testudines, Emydidae. The record is from RefSeq and is a predicted model, not a curated record.
GGGUAAUGAAGUCUUACAGGGACAUGUGAUCAUGUCACCUGAACUGGAAUCCAUCUUUAACCUGGUGAUUUUCCAUUGAGAAGGUGGGGAUGGGAACCCAGAGAGGGAUUCCUGCCUUAUGCAAAAGACAUAUAAGAGAAAGGAACAAAAUAAAGAGAGGAGAGGAGCCAUCAUGAGGAAUCCCCUAGCUACCACCUGAGCUGGAACAAGGGCUGUACCAGGGGAAAGGAUUGUGCCCAGAUUAGGAAGGCAUCCAGUCUGUGAAAGAAACUUAUUGAAACAUCUCUGAGGGUGAGACUUUAUCUGUAUUCAGUUUUAUUACAGCAGUAGGCUUAGAGUUGAUUGUUUUAUUUUAUUUUACUUGGUAAUUCACUUUGUUCUGUCUGCUAUUACUUGGAACCACUUAUAUCCUACUUUCUGUAUUUAAUAAAAUCACUUUUUACUUAUUAAUUAA